UGUUCUUUUUUUUCUGUAUUUUACUUUCUCGGUUUUGUGUGUCUUUUCUUUGCUUUCUUGUCAUUCGUGCCAAGUUUAUUGGCAGGGGAGGAAAAGGGAGAGGCAUUUAAAAAGCGGCGGCUAUAUCGUUGAAAUUUUGGGAAAGUUCCUUAAAUUCAGCAAUACUCAUCUCAAAAGCAUGGGAAUGGAUUUCUUUGUUACU
This 202-nucleotide non-coding RNA is filed under the name Paramoeba aestuarina. Lineage: Eukaryota; Discosea; Flabellinia; Dactylopodida; Paramoebidae. The record is from RNAcentral.